GAUGAACGCUAGCUACAGGCUUAACACAUGCAAGUCGAGGGGAAACGAUAGAGAAAGCUUGCUUUUUCUAGGCGUCGACCGGCGCACGGGUGAGUAACGCGUAUCCAACCUGCCCACCACUUGGGGAUAACCUUGCGAAAGUAAGACUAAUACCCAAUGAUAUCUCUAGAAGACCUCUGGAAGGGAUUAAAGAUUUAUCGGUGAUGGAUGGGGAUGCGUCUGAUUAGCUUGUUGGCGGGGUAACGGCCCACCAAGGCGACGAUCAGUAGGGGUUCUGAGAGGAAGGUCCCCCACAUUGGAACUGAGACACGGUCCAAACUCCUACGGGAGGCAGCAGUGAGGAAUAUUGGUCAAUGGGCGAGAGCCUGAACCAGCCAAGUAGCGUGCAGGAUGACGGCCCUAUGGGUUGUAAACUGCUUUUAUAAGGGAAUAAAGUGAGUCUCGUGAGACUUUUUGCAUGUACCUUAUGAAUAAGGACCGGCUAAUUCCGUGCCAGCAGCCGCAGUAA
This 508-nucleotide ribosomal RNA is filed under the name uncultured bacterium. RNAcentral describes it as "partial 16S ribosomal RNA". It matches the Rfam family "Bacterial small subunit ribosomal RNA", at positions 28 to 523 of the family's 1533-position model. The record is from RNAcentral.